UACGAAGGGGGCUAGCGUUGUUCGGAAUUACUGGGCGUAAAGCGCGCGCAGGCGGUUCUCCAAGUCAGUGGUGAAAGCCCGGAGCUCAACUCCGGAACUGCCAUUGAAACUGUUGAACUUGAGGACGAGAGAGGUGAGUGGAAUUCCCAGUGUAGAGGUGAAAUUCGUAGAUAUUGGGAAGAAACACCGGUGGCGAAGGCGGCGACCUGGUCCAUGACUGACGCUGAGGCGCGAAAGCGUGGGGAGCAAACAGG
RNAcentral lists this ribosomal RNA (254 nucleotides) under uncultured bacterium. RNAcentral's name for it is "partial 16S ribosomal RNA". It matches the Rfam family "Bacterial small subunit ribosomal RNA", at positions 524 to 776 of the family's 1533-position model. The record is from RNAcentral.